Molecule: long non-coding RNA, 3615 nt
Filed under: Malus domestica (apple)
Lineage: Eukaryota; Viridiplantae; Streptophyta; Magnoliopsida; Rosales; Rosaceae
Description: long non-coding RNA (MDOM_LNC016700)
Source: RNAcentral
CUCCCUUAUAUCCUAGCAUCAAACUUAUGCAUGAAAAUUAAGCGUGCACUCUCAACCAACAUACACAAAUCAAUUUUAAUUCAUGUAGAUAAGUAAAUUGAAUUCACAACUUAUGAAACGCAAUUAGAAGUAAUCAAAUCAUAUAGCAAGCAUAAACAUGGUUUCGAAUCCCCCCUAGCCAAGGGGGGUUUAGUUCCUCAUACUCACAAAGGAAAGAUACAUAAAUUUAGACAUUAAAAUCCAAAGAAAGAAAACACCUAGAUGAUCCAACUUGGACAGCAGGUGCAUCCACAAGUCUUCUUUCCUCCUUGCUGCGGCACUUGGUCUAAAGUCAGGUUCUAGGGUGGUAUUUGUAUGGGAGAAUGGGUAGGGAAUGGUAUGGAAGGGUUUAGGAUUAAUGGGGGGGGGGUACGGCUAGGGUAAAAAGAAUCAGAAAAAUAUGGAAGAAUGGUGAAGGAAGGCUGUGGCAAAGAGAGGGAAUGAUUUCUGGCGAAAAUUCUGAAUAUGGAGGGGUAGUUGAUGUGUUUUUUGAUGUAGUGUCAAUGUGUAGUGUUCUUCCCUUCACUCCCUAUUUAUAGAAGCUCCAAAGCAAAGAAUCACUCAAGUGGCUUCAAUAAACAAUACAAACAAAGACCAAAAUGAUGCAAAAACAGUUAGUUUACAUGCUCUUUUAUCAUUGUGUCUUGCCUUUAACAAAAGGCAAUCAUUCAUUUUUUGCUAAUUCAACUCCUUUGUAGCUGUCCAUGUGCCUUCAUUCUUCAAUUUCUGAUGCAUUUUCCUUGUAUUCCAUCCCUUUUCCACAUGUACUAGCUGUUAGACAACUUUCACACACAUGUUUUGCAUCAUUUCAUCUUGCAAACAUCAACUUUUGACCACUUUACACCUCUACACACAUGCUAUGCAUCAUUUCAGCUUGCAAUUAUGUUUGUAGUUGCUGAAAAUGUGAAUACAUCUUGUAAAGCAAUCCAACAAAUGGCAUCUUUAACUUCUUUUCCUUUCAAAUUGUUCCUUAGGUGUAUGUAUCUGCACACUUCCACAAUUCAACUUCAUUAUUCAGAUUUUUGCAUGUGUUGAAACCCUUUUUAAAACUCCAAAAACGUCCAUCCCACUUGCUCCAUAUGCAUGCAAUCCAUUUUGGCCCAAAAUUGCUCCAAAUUGCACCAAAAUGCACUUUCUUUCCAACUUUGUUAUUAGGACCUACAAACACACGAAAAUAGCUUCAAACUCUUAUAAGCAAUAACUAACUAAGUAAAUGCAAGAAAACAUGUUAACUAAGUCGCAUAAAUAUGCUCCUAUCAAAUUCCCCCACACUUAGCUUUUGCUAGUCCUCGAGCAAAACGAAACAAACAAACAAAACAAAGUAAAUAAAACACAUUCUAAUCCUUCCAACAUUUGCCUCAGGGAUUUCCAAUGCACAUGACAUGUUAAAAAUCAUUAUUCCCACAGAUUUUAGUUAUCUUCACACUUGAGCACAUACUUAAUCACAGUCACCACUUACUAGUUCAUAUUUAACCAAUUAAAAUGAUGUUUUGAAUGUAGUAACAUGCCUUAGAGAAUUUGCUCAAUUCCUUACAAGAUACUCUCUAUUUUCACACAUUUUCUAACUACACACCCUACACUAGUUAUAUGUGAGAAGAUUGAUGUAAACAUGGAAACGAACACUCACAUAUAUGUGUUACAAAGAAAACAAUUUCUGGAGUUAUUAAGCAUGUUUAGAUAUGAUCUCAUGAAUGGAAUGCUACUAUUUAGAUGCGAGAACCAGUGACACCAUAUGCUCAUACCAAAUUCAAACUCCACAAAUUGAAACACAUAACACUUAAGAUUGAAGUCAAGGGUUGUAACGGGGCUUGGGGUAAUGGUUAACAAAGGAAAGAUAGGGAUAACAAACGUUCUUAAAGCAAUAGCAAGCAAAGUAAUGAAAUCGAAACUUAGAAUUCACUUUAGAAUGCAGAAAUCAACUUUUAACACAAAUGGAAGAUUUCAGCAACACUUAGGGCCGAAUUCAAUGUUUUGGACCCUUUCUUCAACAAACAACACUUUAGAACUCUUUUUCAUACAUUUUCACAACUUUUCCCCUUUUUUUUUUUUUUUCCGACCUGUGCCUUAUUAAGGACUUUGGCACACACACACACAAGAAUCACUUCCCCCACACUUGUUUUAUGCAAUACAUUAAUCAAAAGGAAUUCAAUUUGAGUCAUGCUUUACUAUGCUUCAAGAACAAGGGUAUGGAUGGUCCUAAUCUAGGUGAGGAUAGUGUGGGUUAACAAAGAACGUAGGCUAAACAAGGCCCAACGGGGUUAAACUUAAACAUAUAAUGAAUGGGAUAGGCUUUUUGGCUCUCGGCUCACUAAACAACUUCAUCUUGAAUAUGUGUUAUGCAAAUCAAUAACAUGCUUUGUAUGAAAUAGGCAUGAGUUCUAGCAUUUGGAACUAAAUGAUGAAACGCCUUCUAAGUAGCAACCAAGCAAAGAAUAAUGAGAUCAUGCAACGACUUUAGAAAACAAUGAUGCACAGUUUAUUAACUCUCCAAAUAAACGUUUAGGCUCAAGUCUCACAAGGUUGUAGCGUACAUUUGAGUUCCUUCUCUCAAGCAUGUUACAAAAUUGAUUUUUCCUUUAUGAUUGCAUGUGAAUUUAUAAAUUAUAACCACAACCAAGCAUACACUAAAGAGUAAAUCAAUUUUUCGUCCAUGUUUAUAACUCUCUUUAACAGUCAUGUAAUUAAAAACCAAAUCCUCAUCAUUGUGUUGGAAGGUACCCUAAGACACAUACAAAAACAACUCUUUUUGGUUUUUUUUCAAAACAAUUUUUCAAUUUUUUAUGAGAUUUUCGGAUUUUUAUGUCAAAACACACUAAAAUACUCCAAAAUAGCUUUAAAACACUUAAAACAGCAAGGAACAACACUAGAAGUAAUGGGUGAUAAACUCCUACGAAUUUCAUGCAAAACAACUUGGUUACCCCCCCACACUUAAAUCAAACAUUGUCCUCAAUGUUUUAAGCAUAAACUCACACAAAAACAAGCAAACAAACAAUUAACGAAUACACAUGACAAAUAUGGCAAAGUAAAAACCAGACAGAGUAGAGUUUAAGAACGCAAAUCUGGUUUUGGAGAUAGAUGAUCUUGUUGACUUUCCACAGCUUUGAUCUCGAACUGGUUUGGAAUUCUGAGCGAGAGUUGCACAGUCUGCAUUCUUCUCUGCUUGUUUCUUCUGCAUGGCAGGUAGUCACGAGGUAGAGGUGGUGGUCUGUUUCUUUCUUCAAUCUUUCCAAGUGCCUACCUCUUGCUUUCUUUCUCCUUGUCCCUAGUUGAGGAUAAAUCAGCACGUUGUCUCCACAUGCUUCGAGGUAUCAUUUUCACUUCCCUUAUCUGUUCCCCAGGCAGAUGUGGGAGACGAAGCGAAAGCAUAAGAUGAUGAAGAUGAGUACUUGAGAGCAAGGCUAGGUAAGCAAUCAGGAAGGGGUUCCAGGUAGUUGGUUCCAGAUUGGACGAUUGAUACCAAGUGCUGGUUGAUUGCUCUCUUUCUCCUUGUCCCAAAACAACGAUAAGGAGAAGGACAUGGAGAAAGCAUGAUAUGAGAUACUCUUGCUUUCAACCUUCAUGAUAUGAAAUACUUUU